GCGGGGGAGCAUGUGGUUUAAUUUGAAGCAACGCGAAGAACCUUACCAGGUCUUGACAUCCUCUGACAACUCUAGAGAUAGAGCGUUCCCCUUUGGGGGACAGAGUGACAGGUGGUGCAUGGUUGUCGUCAGCUCGUGUCGUGAGAUGUUGGGUUAAGUCCCGCAACGAGCGCAACCCUUGAUCUUAGUUGCCAGCAUUUAGUUGGGCACUCUAAGGUGACUGCCGGUGACAAACCGGAGGAAGGUGGGGAUGACGUCAAAUCAUCAUGCCCCUUAUGACCUGGGCUACACACGUGCUACAAUGGAUGGUACAAAGGGCUGCAAGACCGCGAGGUCAAGCCAAUCCCAUAAAACCAUUCUCAGUUCGGAUUGUAGGCUGCAACUCGCCUACAUGAAGCUGGAAUCGCUAGUAAUCGCGGAUCAGCAUGCCGCGGUGAAUACGUUCCCGGGCCUUGU
This 456-nucleotide ribosomal RNA is filed under the name Priestia megaterium. Its description in RNAcentral is "bacterial SSU rRNA". It matches the Rfam family "Bacterial small subunit ribosomal RNA", at positions 929 to 1384 of the family's 1533-position model. Lineage: Bacteria; Bacillati; Bacillota; Bacilli; Caryophanales; Bacillaceae. The record is from RNAcentral.